Triticum aestivum (bread wheat) is the source of this 135-nucleotide non-coding RNA. The record is from Rfam. Lineage: Eukaryota; Viridiplantae; Streptophyta; Magnoliopsida; Poales; Poaceae.
UUUGUACUCCCUCCGUCCCAAAAUUCUUGUCUUAAAUUUGUCUAAAUACGGACGUAACUAGUUACAUUUUAGUGUUAGAUACAUCCGUAUCUAAACAAAUGUAAGACAAGAAUUUUGGGACGGAGGGAAUACUAC